RNAcentral lists this ribosomal RNA (253 nucleotides) under uncultured bacterium. RNAcentral describes it as "partial 16S ribosomal RNA". It matches the Rfam family "Bacterial small subunit ribosomal RNA", at positions 524 to 776 of the family's 1533-position model. The record is from RNAcentral.
GACGGGGGAUGCAAGUGUUAUCCGGAAUCACUGGGCGUAAAGCGUGCGCAGGCGGUUCGUUGUGUCCGAUGUGAAAGCCCCGGGCUUAACCUGGGAAUGGCAUUGGAAACUGGCGAGCUUGAGUGCGGCAGAGGGGGGUGGAAUUCCGCGUGUAGCAGUGAAAUGCGUAGAGAUGCGGAGGAACACCGAUGGCGAAGGCAGCCCCCUGGGUCGACACUGACGCUCAGGCACGAAAGCGUGGGGAGCAAACAGG